AGGAAGGGGGAAGAUAUUAAUUAUAUAGAGAAGAAAUUUUUAAUCAGAAGAAGUUUGAUUUGAAUUGGGAUAGUAAAGGUUACAACCAAGUAGCAGAGCCUGCAGGAAGCACUGUGUGGCAUCUCAGAGCGUCAAGGUAAAAGGUCACUGAAGCUCUAAUCAUAAACUCUCUAAAGCAUUUCUCAGAGCUUCUGUAACUCCUCCUGGAAGAGCAAUGGAAACAGAAACGACCAACAGACCUUGAGAAUGACCAGGAUAACGAACUGAGUGAUUGCUGCGCUGCGGCAGCUCUCACUUUGUUCUCCGUAAAGUCGGUAACAACAACGAGGAUCUCAGUAUCAGCAGGGGAGCUGCGCCCAAAUAAUUAUACAAGUUGCUGUGCAUUUCAGCCAUGAGCAAGAGUUUAUGCUGAAGCUGUGAGUUUUCCCAAGAGAGCAGAGACGUGACACGUGUACCAGAUGCAAGCACACAGUGUGGAAAAAGUGGAGAACUGUGACCUAUUGUACCACCUAUAAAUGAAAAGU
Non-coding RNA from Meleagris gallopavo (turkey), 524 nucleotides. Lineage: Eukaryota; Metazoa; Chordata; Aves; Galliformes; Phasianidae. The record is from RefSeq and is a predicted model, not a curated record.